CUUUUGAGGGAGCAGCUCGGAUGGUGGCGUAACCUCGCAGGCCCUGGGCAGGGGCUCCGGGGAAUUCCUGGCCAAAAGUACUUUAAUCAGCAUUUAAUGACCCAGUCGAAAAUUCAUUGUUUGGACCCAAGCACUGGUGGGAAAGGCAGGAGGGGAGGCCUGCCUUCCUUCCUCCCUCCCGAGCCCUACAGCAGGCCAUGGAGUGGUGAGCGAGUUCGUACAGUGCCAACCACAUUCCCAGAAACUUCCAGCAGAGGUUAAUCCUGCUCCUCUCAGGUGGGCUUGGCCCAUUCUCUAGACUUUGGAAGGUAAUGUUCUAUAGAGGCCUGUUCUGAAGCUUUACCAGGUCAAACCGGAGAAGAACCCAACAAGUAACUCAUCCCAGCCUAACUAUUCUUCAAGGGCAAUCAACCUACAGCAUCCAAGCACAGAGAAAUCAAAUCCAUGGAGAAUCUUCAAAUUAGGCUCAGAAUCCAUUUGGGUCAAUGAAUUUACUGUUAUUAAGAUCUUAGUUGUGUUCAACCAUGAUUUGACAUACCUUAGAGUGAGAAGAUAUUCUUCCUGGCCUCAGACUAGUUGAAGGUAGAGAGAGAGACAGGCCCUUGGGUGUGGGGAGACCUCUCCUGGGAUAAUACACACAAAAAACCAAGAGCUGCUCACUGUGGUGCAGGAGACAGCAGGGCCUGAAGCCAGAGGCUCUGUGUCCUUGAAUACAAUGUUUUACUCCUCUGACCCCUGUUACUGUGAUUUGGAGAGGCAGACAAUAUAGGAUGGGCUUUGCAGGCAGGGAGGUCCAGUUAUAAUCCCAGCUCUUACUAAGUUGGGUAAGACUCACUCUGAGACUUAGUUUCUUCUGUCAUCUCUCAAUAGAAUCAUAAAGGUACUUUCCUCUUAGUGUUGUUUUAAAAUUCAGUAAAAUAAUGCAGGCUUAGCACAGGGUCUGAUGUAAAUUUUCAAUGAAUUAUCGUUGUCAAUAUUGUUCUGGAAAACAAGAGGGCAUAUUAGAAGAUCAAAAGUACUGCCAAGCAUUGAAGUGCCAAUUCUAGAUCCAGUCUCAGCCCUCUGAGAAUGGAUAUCAUUGUUUUCAAGCCAUUCAGAAACCAAUGUGAAUUGAACACCUAGUAUGAGCUCUCUGAGGGAAGAGCCAAGUCAUGCAUUUUUUAUCUUAAGGGGUCUUCAAUACCUCUAGCCCAAAACAGUAUCUCCAUCAGGAUUCUUCUCUGAUAGUGUUCAUUUCUUUUUUCUCAAUGGAUGCCUUAAAAAAAAAAUCCUACAAGGAAACCUGUACUCCUCAAAUACACCACUCAGGUGACCAUUAAAUCAUUUACAUUGUUAAUUUCUUUUCAGAUGUGUGUCUUUUUCCCUAGUUACAUCAUCAGGACCUUGAAGGUAGGGACAGGUCUUAGAUUUCUUGAUGCCCCCAUAAAUCUAGGUACAGAGUAGGUCUCUGGACAUCAGUAUAAGGCCCAUGAGCCUGAUAGCUGCCCAGGUGGGUGCUGUGUGCCUGGGCGUGGGAAGGACAAAAGAGAGGUCACUAAAGGGGUUCCUGGGAAGGAAGAGCCCCUCUGACUUUAAAAGGGAGCCCAUACACUUUUUGGACAACUGGAAUAAUCAGAAAGCUGUUUUUGGGGAGGCAGCAGCCAGAAAAACCUGGGGCAUUGGGUCAACCAAAGCCCUUCCCAAGGCUGCAGUGGCUGCAGCUAGUUAGCCCAGCUUCCCUACCAGCCCCAGGGCUGCAACUGAACAGUGUUGGCUUCUUAAUAAAAACAG
RNAcentral lists this long non-coding RNA (1770 nucleotides) under Homo sapiens (human). RNAcentral describes it as "HSALNT0358525". Lineage: Eukaryota; Metazoa; Chordata; Mammalia; Primates; Hominidae. The record is from RNAcentral.